Coturnix japonica (Japanese quail) is the source of this 579-nucleotide long non-coding RNA. RefSeq lists it as uncharacterized. NCBI's taxonomy places the organism in Eukaryota, Metazoa, Chordata, Aves, Galliformes, Phasianidae. The record is from RefSeq and is a predicted model, not a curated record.
UACAAGACCCCAAAGUCCUGCAGUCAGCGCAAGAACCAGAGACACGUUCAGUUAGAUACUAAAAAUCAACUGAAUUACAAGCAGGAAUUGGCCUUUUCUUCUGAAAAACAGUGAUAAACUUAUGUCUUGAGUAUCACUGUCUCAGAAAGGAGAAAGACUGCUUGGCGUUUUAGAAGAUCACCAAGGUCACUCCUUUCACUAGAAUACCAACAAGAUCAGACCCACAACUUCUUACUUUGAAAGACACAAAUACUUGCCACAGUUACAACCUAUUUCAAACUACAAUAACACGAAGGAUAAUCUUGUGGCUUUCUCAUGACGUUUGCCCUCAACAUACAGAAACUCAGAUAAACUCCUUGGAUGGUAAUUCACCUAACACUCUGGAGACCAACUGACCACACAACAUCUGCCUCGGUCUUGAGCAGCUCAUGAAGGAUGGAACUUUUCAGGUGACCAGCUCAAGUGCUGCGCCAUUUUCCUAAGGAAAGAAAACAUUUUCCCUAAUGUCUGGACUUACUUUCCCAAAUUGUAUCUUGGGUCCUUUGCCAUUUAUUAAAGUCUGUGGCUAUUAAGUUGAGU